GCACCCGUAGCUCAAUUGGAUAGAGCACUGGUCUUCGGAACCAGCGGUUGUAGGUUCGAGUCCUACCGGGUGUA
This 74-nucleotide transfer RNA is filed under the name Isosphaera pallida ATCC 43644. RNAcentral describes it as "tRNA-Arg (TCG) (tRNA-Arg-TCG-1-1)". It matches the Rfam family "tRNA". From Rfam's summary of the family: Transfer RNA (tRNA) molecules are approximately 80 nucleotides in length. Their secondary structure includes four short double-helical elements and three loops (D, anti-codon, and T loops). RNAcentral also lists the same sequence under 1 other name. Lineage: Bacteria; Pseudomonadati; Planctomycetota; Planctomycetia; Isosphaerales; Isosphaeraceae. The record is from Rfam by way of RNAcentral.